CGGGUGAGUAAUACAUCGGAACGUGCCCUGUAGUGGGGGAUAACUAGUCGAAAGAUUAGCUAAUACCGCAUACGGCCUGAGGGUGAAAGUGGGGGACCGCAAGGCCUCAUGCUAUAGGAGCGGCCGAUGUCUGAUUAGCUAGUUGGUGGGGUAAAGGCCUACCAAGGCGACGAUCAGUAGCUGGUCUGAGAGGACGAUCAGCCACACUGGGACUGAGACACGGCCCAGACUCCUACGGGAGGCAGCAGGC
RNAcentral lists this ribosomal RNA (250 nucleotides) under uncultured Ralstonia sp. Its description in RNAcentral is "partial 16S ribosomal RNA". It matches the Rfam family "Bacterial small subunit ribosomal RNA", at positions 103 to 354 of the family's 1533-position model. Lineage: Bacteria; Pseudomonadati; Pseudomonadota; Betaproteobacteria; Burkholderiales; Burkholderiaceae. The record is from RNAcentral.